ACAGGGAGACAGGUGGUGCAUGGUUGUCGUCAGCUCGUGUCGUGAGAUGUUGGGUUAAGUCCCGGCAACCGAGCGCAACCCUACGUUUAGUUGCUAACGCGUGAAGGCGAGCACUCGUAGACGAACUGCCGUUAGACAAAACGGAGGAAGGUGGGGAUGACGUCAAAUCAUCAUGCCCCUUAUGUUCUGGGCUACACACGUGCUACAAUGGCCGGUACAGACGGAGGCGAAGCCGCGAGGCGGGAGCAAAUCCGAAAAAAGCCGGUCUCAGUUCGGAUUGCAGGCUGCAAUUCGCCUGCAUGAAGUCGGAAUCGCUAGUAAUCGCAGGUCAGCAUACUGCGGUCGAAUACGUUCCCGGGCCUU
This 363-nucleotide ribosomal RNA is filed under the name uncultured Pelotomaculum sp. Its description in RNAcentral is "bacterial SSU rRNA". It matches the Rfam family "Bacterial small subunit ribosomal RNA", at positions 1026 to 1382 of the family's 1533-position model. The record is from RNAcentral. Lineage: Bacteria; Bacillati; Bacillota; Clostridia; Eubacteriales; Desulfotomaculaceae.